AUUGAACGUUGGCGGCAUGCUUUACACAUGCAAGUCGAACGGUAACAGCACUUCGGUGGCUGACGAGUGGCGAACGGGUGAGUAAUACAUCGGAACGUGCCUAGUAGUGGGGGAUAACUACUCGAAAGAGUAGCUAAUACCGCAUGAGAUCUAAGGAUGAAAGCAGGGGACCUUCGGGCCUUGCGCUACUAGAGCGGCUGAUGGCAGAUUAGGUAGUUGGUGGGAUAAAAGCUUACCAAGCCGACGAUCUGUAGCUGGUCUGAGAGGACGACCAGCCACACUGGGACUGAGACACGGCCCAGACUCCUACGGGAGGCAGCGGUGGGGAAUUUUGGACACUGGGCGCAAGCCUGAGCCAGCAAUGCGGCGUGCAGGAUGAAGGCCUUCGGGUUGUAAACUGCUUUUGUACGGAACGAAAAGCCCUCUUCUAAUACAGGAGGGUCAUGACGGUACCGUAAGAAUAAGCACCGGCUAACUACGU
RNAcentral lists this ribosomal RNA (481 nucleotides) under uncultured bacterium. RNAcentral describes it as "partial 16S ribosomal RNA". It matches the Rfam family "Bacterial small subunit ribosomal RNA", at positions 30 to 506 of the family's 1533-position model. The record is from RNAcentral.